GUCUUCUGCCCGGCCCCUUCGCCCACGUGAAGAACGCCAGGGAGCUGUGAGGCAGUGCUGUGUGGUUCCUGCCGUCCGGACUCUUUUUCCUCUACUGAGAUUCAUCUGGUGAAAUAUGAGUUGGCGAGGAAGAUCGACCUAUUAUUGGCCUAGACCAAGGCGCUAUGUACAGCCUCCUGAAAUGAUUGGGCCUAUGCGGCCGAGCAGUUCAGUGAUGAAGUGGAACCAGCAACACCUGAAGAAGGGGAACCAGCAACUCAACGUCAGGAUCCUGCAGCUGCUCAGGAGGGAGAGGAUGAGGGAGCAUCUGCAGGUCAAGGCCGAAGCCUGAAGCUGAUAGCCAGGAACAGGGUCACCCACAGACUGGGUGUGAGUGUGAAGAUGGUCCUGAUGGGCAGGAGAUGGACCCGCCAAAUCCAGAGGAGGUGAAAACGCCUGAAG
This 441-nucleotide long non-coding RNA is filed under the name Homo sapiens (human). RNAcentral's name for it is "long non-coding RNA NONHSAT137007.2". The record is from RNAcentral. Lineage: Eukaryota; Metazoa; Chordata; Mammalia; Primates; Hominidae.